This 400-nucleotide unclassified non-coding RNA is filed under the name soil metagenome. RNAcentral describes it as "partial contains 5.8S ribosomal RNA, internal transcribed spacer 2, and large subunit ribosomal RNA". The stretch from base 1 to 122 matches the Rfam family "5.8S ribosomal RNA", at positions 35 to 154 of the family's 154-position model. The record is from RNAcentral.
GAUGAAGAACGUAGCGAAAUGCGAUACUUGGUGUGAAUUGCAGAAUCCCGUGAACCAUCGAGUCUUUGAACGCAAGUUGCGCCUCAAGCCAUUAGGUUGAGGGCACGUCUGCCUGGGCGUCACAUAUCGUUGCCUGAUGCCAGUUUCCUCGUGAUGGGUGACUGUGCAGGGCGAAUGAUGGCUUCCCGUGAGCAUUGUUGCCUCAUGGUUGGUUGAAAAUUGAGUCCUUGGUAGGGAGCGCCGUGAUAGAUGGUGGUUGAGUGACAAACGAGACCCAAUCAUGUGAGACCCCUACCGAAUUUGGCCUUCAUGACCCACAUGCGUCUUUGGAACGCUCAUGACGAGACCUCAGGUCAGGCGGGGCUACCCGCUGAGUUUAAGCAUAUCAAUAAGCUGAGGA